AUGAUGGACUAUAGGACAGGACUGCUGCUUCUGACUGUCUGCUGGGCAGGUGUUGAUGGUCAGACUCUGACAGAAUCUGAACCAGCAGUUACAAGUCCUGGAGGAUCUCACAGAUUGACCUGUACAACCUCUGGAAUUAAUUUAGCUGGCAACUCGAUGGGCUGGAUCAGACAGGCUCCUGGAAAAGGACUGGAGUGGAUCGCUUAUAUCAACAGUGGCAGCAGCAGCAUCUACUACUCUCAGUCAGUCAGAGGGCGGUUUACCAUCUCCAGAGACAACAGCAGAGAGGAGCUGUAUCUGCAGAUGAACAGUCUGAAGACUGAAGAUUCUGCUGUUUAUUAUUGUGCU
Non-coding RNA from Centropristis striata (black sea bass), 348 nucleotides. Lineage: Eukaryota; Metazoa; Chordata; Actinopteri; Perciformes; Serranidae. The record is from the annotation of a RefSeq genome assembly.